RNAcentral lists this ribosomal RNA (2152 nucleotides) under human gut metagenome. RNAcentral's name for it is "bacterial LSU rRNA". It matches the Rfam family "Bacterial large subunit ribosomal RNA", at positions 754 to 2925 of the family's 2925-position model. The record is from RNAcentral.
AGGUAAAACUCCAUGGAGGACCGAACGCACGUUCGUUGCAAUGACCGGCGAUGACCUGUGGAUAGCGGUGAAAUUCCAAUCGAACCCGGAGAUAGCUGGUUCUCCCCGAAAUAGCUUUAGGGCUAGCGUCGAGGUAGAGAGUUGCGUGAAGGUAGAGCACUGAAUAUGUGAUGGCCCCAUCUCGGGGUACUGAGCAUAAUCAAACUGCGAAUGUCACGGAAACAUACUCGGCAGUCAGACAGCGGGUGAUAAGGUCCGUUGUCAAGAGGGAAACAGCCCAGACCAUCAGCUAAGGUCCCAAAAUGUAUGCUAAGUGGAAAAGGAUGUGGAGAUGUACAGACAACUAGGAGGUUGGCUCAGAAGCAGCCAUCCUUUAAAGAGUGCGUAACAGCUCACUAGUCGAAUGACUCUGCGCCGAUAAUUUACCGGGGCUAAGCAUACUACCGAAGCUAUGGAUCCCAAGGGAUGGUAGGGGAGCGUUCCAUGAACGGAGAAGCGCGAUCGAGAGGACGCGUGGAGAUCAUGGAAGAGAGAAUGCCGGUGUGAGUAGCGGAACGUGGGUGAGAAUCCCACGCACCGAAAACCCAAGGUUUCCAGAGGAAGGUUCGUCCGCUCUGGGUAAGUCGGGACCUAAGGCGAGGCCGAGAGGCGUAGUCGAUGGACAACAGGUAGAGAUUCCUGUACUCAUAUAUAUGUGAAGGAAUGACGGAGAGAGGAAGCUGCAGCCAGCGGCUGGAAGAGCUGGUGCAAGCGAGAUAUCGGGAUGGCAGGCAAAUCCACCAUCCGAAACGAGAAGGCGUGAAGCGUACGGAAAGCUAAGGCGAGUACGGAAGGCAGUGGAGGAGCUUCCAAGAAAAGUUUCUAACGAAAGUAUAUGUGACCCGUACCGAAAAUGGACACACAUGGGUGAGGAGAGAAUCCUAAGGUGAGCGAGAGAACUAUAGCUAAGGAACUCUGCAAAAUGACUCCGUAACUUAGGGAGAAGGAGUGCUCAUAGAGAUAUGAGCCGCAGUGAAACGGCCCAAGCGACUGUUUACCAAAAACACAGCUCUCUGCUAAGCCGCAAGGCGAAGUAUAGGGGGUGACGCCUGCCCGGUGCUGGAAGGUUAAGGGGAGGGGUUAACGCAAGUGAAGCCCUGAACUGAAGCCCCAGUAAACGGCGGCCGUAACUAUAACGGUCCUAAGGUAGCGAAAUUCCUUGUCAGGUAAGUUCUGACCCGCACGAAAGGCGUAAUGAUUUGUGCACUGUCUCGACAACACGCCCGGUGAAAUUGAAGAACCAGUGAAGAUACUGGUUACCCGCAACAGGACGGAAAGACCCCAUGGAGCUUUACUGCAGCCUGAUACUGGGAUUCGAUGAUAUAUGUACAGGAUAGGUGGGAGGCUAAGAAGCGAGAACGCUAGUUUUCGUGGAGCCGCCGGUGGGAUACCACUCUUAUGUCAUUGAAUUUCUAACCUGCAUCCGUAAUCCGGGUGAGGGACAAUGUCAGGCGGGCAGUUUGACUGGGGCGGUCGCCUCCUAAAAGGUAACGGAGGCGCUCGAAGGUCACCUCAGAAUGAUUGGAAACCAUUCAAAGAGUGUAAAGGCAAAAGGUGGCUUGACUGCGAGAGCGACGGCUCGAGCAGGUACGAAAGUAGGACUUAGUGAUCCGGUGGUAAUAAGUGGGAAUGCCAUCGCUCAACGGAUAAAAGCUACCCUGGGGAUAACAGGCUUAUCACUCCCAAGAGUUCACAUCGACGGAGUGGUUUGGCACCUCGAUGUCGGCUCAUCGCAUCCUGGGGCUGUAGUAGGUCCCAAGGGUUGGGCUGUUCGCCCAUUAAAGCGGUACGCGAGCUGGGUUCAGAACGUCGUGAGACAGUUCGGUCCCUAUCCGUUGUGGGCGCAGGAAAUUUGAGAGGAGCUGUCCUUAGUACGAGAGGACCGGGAUGGACGUACCUCUGGUGUACCGGUUGCAGACCAACUGCACAGCCGGGUAGCUAUGUAUGGAACGGAUAAACGCUGAAGGCAUCUAAGCGUGAAGCCGCCCUCAAGAUAAGAUUUCCCAUUCUUCGGAAGUAAGAUCCCUUAAAGAUAAUGAGGUUGAUAGGUUGGAGGUGUAAGCAUGGUAACAUGUUCAGCUGACCAAUACUAAUAGAUCGAGGGCUUGACCAA